This 253-nucleotide ribosomal RNA is filed under the name uncultured bacterium. RNAcentral's name for it is "partial 16S ribosomal RNA". It matches the Rfam family "Bacterial small subunit ribosomal RNA", at positions 524 to 776 of the family's 1533-position model. The record is from RNAcentral.
UACGUAGGGUGCAAGCGUUGUCCGGAAUUAUUGGGCGUAAAGAGCUCGUAGGCGGUCUGUCGCGUCGGAUGUGAAAACCCAGGGCUCAACCCUGGGCCUGCAUUCGAUACGGGCAGACUGGAGGUAUGCAGGGGAGAACGGAAUUCCUGGUGUAGCGGUGAAAUGCGCAGAUAUCAGGAGGAACACCGGUGGCGAAGGCGGUUCUCUGGGCAUGUCCUGACGCUGAGGAGCGAAAGUGUGGGGAGCGAACAGG